GCCGGAAUGGCGGAAUUGGUAGACGCGCGCGACUCAAAAUCGCGUUUCUGCAAAGAAGUGAGGGUUCGAUUCCCUCUUUCGGUACCA
Molecule: transfer RNA, 87 nt
Filed under: Candidatus Peregrinibacteria bacterium
Lineage: Bacteria; Candidatus Peregrinibacteriota
Description: tRNA-Leu
Rfam family: tRNA
About the family: Transfer RNA (tRNA) molecules are approximately 80 nucleotides in length.
Source: RNAcentral